This 1107-nucleotide long non-coding RNA is filed under the name Helianthus annuus (common sunflower). Its description in RNAcentral is "hypothetical non coding rna". The record is from RNAcentral. Lineage: Eukaryota; Viridiplantae; Streptophyta; Magnoliopsida; Asterales; Asteraceae.
GUCUCACAACAUGGUUUUGUAAAACCAUCAACGGUAAAAGCAUAUGUUAUCAGUAAGAGAGUAAAAGAAAAACCAUCUAAGUUAUUAGAGACGGUGAGCGUUUAAUCAGCGGGGUUGGCACUGUGCCGGUGGUCGUUAUUGUCAUCGCCGUAAGUGAUUUAACGGCAACAUCAUCUGGUACUAUGGCGUUAAUUUUGGUAUUCGAAGAAGAAGCGUGAAACGAUGAGUCUGGACAUGGGGUCCGGUGUCCAUAUUCAAGAAACGUUGGGACCGGUGUCAAUUGGUGUCGAUAGUUGCCGCCGAUAGUGAUUCAAAGGCUGCCACCAUAAGCCUCUAUUUUUAUUUUUUUUCGAAAUGAUGUGUCGGUUAGUUUUCCGGCAUGUGUCUUAAGUCAUAAUUUGUGGAAACCGGUGGUGGGAGCAGUUAUGUUAACGGACUAAUGGUGCUGCUUAAUGUUAACGGUUUGUUUUUUUUUUUUCGGAACGGUGCGUCAGUUGGGCACAGGUUUGCUUAUCACAUCGUUGACCACAGACUAAGGUGCCGACAUUUGUUGACGCCUUGUUCAAUAUGAUUUUAUUAAUUCAGAAGGUUGAUUUAAACGGUGUGUUUGUUUGGACACGAUGAUUACAUGAGCAGGUGAUGCCCCAAGUUACUUUUUGUAGUAUUAUAUUAUAUAAUAUAAUGCCUGCCAUUUAUAGGACCUAGUAAAUCCUUAUUUAACCACAAUGAAGAACCAAAACAUCAAGAACAAAGAAGAUGCGAUGUAUACCUAAAACAUGGAUUUGCAUUGAUCAAUCGACACGCUUUGAAUGUUUACACAGACAUAUAAUCUAUAUAUACUGACUGUAGGGAACAGGGCAAAGCUUCACCAAUUGUCAUACACAUUAACCAUAAUGUCAAGGAAUAGACACGAAACUAAAUUUUAUACUCUAAUUACUUAAAUAACUAGACUUUUUAUCGAACUUGUAUCAAACAUACAAGUCUAACAACCCCUCCCCCCCCCCCCACACACACACACACAUACACACACACACAUGUUAAUCCAAGUUUAAGUAUGUCUUCAUACCUUGAUCUUUUGUCUCUUGUUCCAUUCUCUUCUGAAAUUUG